RNAcentral lists this ribosomal RNA (460 nucleotides) under uncultured bacterium. RNAcentral's name for it is "partial 16S ribosomal RNA". It matches the Rfam family "Bacterial small subunit ribosomal RNA", at positions 338 to 795 of the family's 1533-position model. The record is from RNAcentral.
CCUACGGGUGGCUGCAGUGAGGCAUAUUGGUCAAUGGACGAGAGUCUGAACCAGCCAAGUAGCGUGAAGGAUGACUGCCCUAUGGGUUGUAAACUUCUUUUAUAUGGGAAUAAAAUGUUCCACGUGUGGGAUUUUGUAUGUACCAUAUGCAUAAGGAUCGGCUAACUCCGUGCCGGCAGCCGCGGUAAUACGGAGGAUCCGAGCGUUAUCCGGAUUUAUUGGGUUUAAAGGGAGCGUAGGUGGAUUGUUAAGUCAGGUGUGAAAGUUUGCGGCUCAACCGUAAAAUUGCAGUUGAAACUGACAGUCUUGAGUACAGUAGAGGUGGGCGGAAGUCGUGGUGGAGCGGUGAAAUGCUUAGAUAUCACGAAGAACUUCGAUUGCGAAGGCAGUUCACUGGACUGAAACUGACACUGAGGCUCGAAAGUGUGGGUAUCAAACAGGAUUAGAUACCCCUGUAGUC